This 28-nucleotide small RNA is filed under the name Bombyx mori (domestic silkworm). RNAcentral describes it as "piRNA piR-bmo-1570015". The record is from RNAcentral. Lineage: Eukaryota; Metazoa; Arthropoda; Insecta; Lepidoptera; Bombycidae.
UUUCUUGGGAAAAUUGCUAGUGGUGGGU